UUGUCCCAUAGCUCUGCCUCUUUUCCAUUUUUUGUUAUUCCUGGCUGGACCCUGGGCGUGGUCCAACCCCUCUGCUUGUCUGAGGAGGCUGAUGGGUGCUGUUAUGACUCCUGGUGCUGCCUACCACCUGUAGAUGUGGGGGACAGUGCCAUGGGUGAAGGCUCUCAGCUUCCUGGUGUCUUAGGAAGCAGCUGGCCCUUACUGCACCCUGGCAAAAACAAAGCUGGCAAAGGACCCCAGGGACAGGCUGUGAAGGGCUGCAGAUGCGAAGUGUCUGGCCAGCACAAAACCAAUGAACUUCGGGUUAAUACAGCCACGUGCAGAUCAAAUAUGCAGCUUUCUGCUGUGUGAGAUACAUUGGAGAUAAGGUCAAGAGUACCGGCUCACAGAUAACUCCCAUAACGCUCUUGUCCCACUUUCAGUGGAAGCAUCCAUAUUUUCCAAGGCAUGAAAGCCCACAUCAGGAAGAAAUUCUGUUCUGAAGUGUACUUGAAACUUCAGGAUUCUUGGUACCAAAGGAGUAUCACUCAGUGAUAUUUAAGUGAACGAAGAGAGUAGAUUUGGUGAAUUUUAUGACAUACAGUUUGUUUCCAAGUCAACUGUAAGAAUGCAUCAAAUAAGCUUUGAGCAAUAUUUGAGAACCCUCAGAGGCAUAUAUUUUUAUUGCUUCAGGAAAGGAUGAUCUGUGCAAAUAUUACAUUCCUAUAAUCACAUCACAUAUUGCAUUAAAGCUGAACUUAUCUAUGCAUUCUAUAUGAUUAAUCAACAGUGCAAUGCAUGGUGAUCCAUGUGUGCAUACAUGAGUACAAAGCUUUAGCAAGUAUUUGACCCUUCUCAAACAGGACUUCAUACUGGCUAUUGGAAAAAAUUAAAGCACCAGCAAGAAAUCACUGUACCUUCUCCACUACAAAA
Long non-coding RNA from Cygnus olor (mute swan), 912 nucleotides. RefSeq lists it as uncharacterized. Lineage: Eukaryota; Metazoa; Chordata; Aves; Anseriformes; Anatidae. The transcript is spliced from 3 exons. The record is from RefSeq and is a predicted model, not a curated record.